RNAcentral lists this ribosomal RNA (272 nucleotides) under uncultured archaeon. Its description in RNAcentral is "partial 16S ribosomal RNA". It matches the Rfam family "Archaeal small subunit ribosomal RNA", at positions 477 to 747 of the family's 1478-position model. The record is from RNAcentral.
CUGCGCUGCAAGUGGUGAUCACGAUUAUUGGGCCUAAAGCGUCCGUAGUUGGUCGAGUAAGUCUUCUGUGAAAUUGUAACGCACAACGUUACAGAUUGCAAAAGAUACUGCUUGACUUGGGACCGGAGAGAAGUUAGGGGUAUUCGUAGAGGAGCGGUAAAAUGUGAUAAUCCUACGAAGACCACCUGUGGCGAAGGCGCCUAACUAGAACGGCUCCGACAAUGAGGGACGAAAGCCAGGGGAGCGAAACGGAUUAGAUACCCGUGUAGUCC